This 510-nucleotide ribosomal RNA is filed under the name uncultured bacterium. RNAcentral describes it as "partial 16S ribosomal RNA". It matches the Rfam family "Bacterial small subunit ribosomal RNA", at positions 28 to 507 of the family's 1533-position model. The record is from RNAcentral.
GACGAACGCUGGCGGCGUGCUUAACACAUGCAAGUCGAACGAAGAGCGAUGGAAGCUUGCUUCUAUCAAUCUUAGUGGCGAACGGGUGAGUAACGCGUAAUCAACCUGCCCUUCAGAGGGGGACAACAGUUGGAAACGACUGCUAAUACCGCAUACGAUCUAAUCUCGGCAUCGAGGAUAGAUGAAAGGUGGCCUCUACAUGUACGCUAUCACUGAAGGAGGGGAUUGCGUCUGAUUAGCUAGUUGGAGGGGUAACGGCCCACCAAGGCGAUGAUCAGUAGCCGGUCUGAGAGGAUGAACAGCCACAUUGGGACUGAGACACGGCCCAGACUCCUACGGGAGGCAGCAGUGGGGAAUCUUCCGCAAUGGACGAAAGUCUGACGGAGCAACGCCGCGUGAGUGAUGACGGCCUUCGGGUUGUAAAGCUCUGUUAAUCGGGACGAAAGGCCUUCUUGCGAAUAGUGAGAAGGAUUGACGGUACCGGAAUAGAAAGCCACGGCUAACUACGUG